ACAAGAAUGGGUACCUUCAUGAGGCACCUGCUUUCUUUAGUGUCUCUCUUUUUCCCAAAACAGCUUUCAACAACAAUUUCAGUAACACUCCUUUACUGAAAGCUCAGGCUGGCAGUGGAAAAUCCAGGCACCUGCAAAUGUUUUUCUGCUUUGUUUUGUUUUCCUAUUGGCCGCACUGGAAAAGCGGAGGAGAACUUGUGUCAGUUCCAUGACCCUGCAGGACUGAAAGGUAAUGUGCUUUCCCAGGAGUACUGGGGGACACUUUGGUCCCUGAAACGUGAAAAGGACAACUUCUCAGCCUCUGCUAUGACGUACUGCCUUUUAGGGGUCACUUCAACAACGAUGAUCCCUGAACAAUUGACCCUUGCCAGGGAGACUCUUCAGACUAUUCCCUUCAGGGAUUGUUUGCCAGCAGAGAUCAAGCAAAGAGAAUGAUGGAGGACUAUUUUCGUGGCUCUGAUGCUACUUGCACCAGGACCUCUGCACACAACCAUUAAAUAAAGCCAGCAGCGUUUCGAGACAAUAAGAAGAAGAACUGUAGGAAUCGGAGCAGCCCAGAGCACGGAACUGCAGCUGGCAUGGAGCAACAGCGGCUCCAUCAAGAUCCACCUUCUCCAAGGUCACCUCGACCACGGAGCUCCUUGCAGGCCCGUGUCUGAUGACGGCGAGCGCGGCCGCACGGUGUGCGCUCCGCCGCUCUCCGCCCCCUUUCCCGGCGGCGCUGCCCGGGGCGCUCGGCUCGGCUCGGCUCGGCUCGGCUCGGCUCGGCUCGGGUGGGCGCUGCUCGGGCGCGGUGAGGCUCUCGCCGCCCCGCGGGGAUGCGCGCAGCGGCGCGGGGGCGGGAUCGCGCCUCGCUCCCCCCAGCGCUGCAGCCUCGGCCCGGCCCCGCCGCCCGCCUCCCUCCGGCCCCGCUGUCAGAGCCGGCAGCCCGCGUGGCAGCGGGGCGCGCCGGGGCGAGCGGCGUCUCUGCGGUGGCUGCUGGAGCACCGGCGAACGGCAGCUGCGUCCCACGCAGCGUCUGUCCGUCCGUCCAUCCAUCUAUCUAUCCAUCUAUCUAUCCAUCCAUCCAUCCCUGCGUGGGCGGCGGCUGGUGUGUGUGUGUGACUGACAGGGAGGCGCGCACGGCGCGGGGGCAGCCGCUCGCACUCUGCCCGCCGGGCCCCGGCUGCGGCAGCCGCUCCUCCGUCCCCCGGAGCCCUCCCCGGUGGGGCAACCUCAGCGGCCUCGCUGCUCGUCCUCCUCCUCCCUCCUGGCGGGGUAAGUCUUCCAGAUGCAGGAGGGAAUACUUUGUCACAUGUUUGUAAAGCAGCCAGGUCUCUACAGUCUCUGGGCAGAUUCUGGCACUGUACUCAUAAGGAACACUCACGGUGACACAGAACACAGCACUUUGUAACUACAGGAACAGACUCGACUGUGAAAGAUCUCUAUCAGGCAUCACAGAGAAUUUGGGGCAGCUGGCAGUUAUCAGCUGAAGCAGUUAGUCAGUAGAACUGCACAAGAUAAAUAGAUAAUUGAAAAGCAAUCUGGAAGCCUGGGAGGGAUAAUAAGCUUCUCUUCUAGAAAGGAGGUAACCGCUCAGGUAGGUCACUGAGGAACUGAACUCCCAGAUCAGUGCUUUGCCUAAUAACACUGAAAAUACAGCAGCAGUCCAUGCCUGUCAGCUCUGAAGGAAUAUUCAAGUUGUUCUUGGAAAGGCAGUUUGGCAUAUUCAGUCAUACAAAUCAUUGUUGCAAUAGAGUGAAAGGUUGUACUGCUGAUAGACAGGUGGCCAAAAUCCCGGGAACAAUAUGGCCCUUUGUUAAGUUACAGUUGCCAAAAUAGAAAAGUAGUUACACACCCUUUUUACCCUCUGUGCUACUUUGUUUAUACUGCCAUGCAACCCGUAGUAUUCCUGCCACACUGACCACGUUUGUCUGUGGGAAAGUGAUUUCUUUUCUUGUAUAAUUUAUAAUAAAAUAAUGGAACUAUUUUUGUUUUAUUUACCAUGAACACAGAGAACAGAGGGAAAAGACCAAUGUCUAUGAGUAAAAGAAUGUGUUGAUCUUAGUAGCUGCACUUUAAAAGAGCCCUAAAGAAUCUUUCUGUUUAAGUCACUCUUAUGAUUGUCAAAUUUCUGACUACAGAAAGUGUGAAAUCUUGCAUGAAGGUGCAAGGAAACUGAAAACAUUUGGUAACUCUUCUUGCUAGGUUCUGAUCUCUUGUAGAACUAUACUGUUUGUAGGAAAAGAGCAUGAGAUAUUUUUGUGAGAGUGAGCAUAGAAAAAAGGGUUUGGGCCUUUUUCAAAAAAGUAAGUGGUAUCUUUCCACCACAGAAUUGAUCCACUGAUUAUUUUGUUAAGCCACUCAGGUGGAUCACAUGAAAUAACUGAUGCCUAAUAAUUCUAGUGCAGCUGAACAAAGCAAACAAACCCCCAACCAACCAACCAAACCCCAAAACAAAACAACAAAACCCCAAGACUUUUGUUGCUCAGUCUACUUUGAAAAAUGCUUUUAAAAAUCUCUCCAAAAAUUCUGUCUAAAAAAUUCUGUGCAUUUAUAGUGAAAGAACAUAGAGCAAAACACAUGCACCAAUUUUUUUUACUGUAUUAGUUGCUAAAAUUAAAGUGGCAGUUACUGUAGUAGUAUUACAGUAGCUAGAAAAGCAACAUAUUAAAUUCACAAAAUCCAUUAAUAAAAUUUGCAUAUGUUCAUGUUGCUCGUUGCAGAAACAAUGUGAUUUAUUUGAAGUCUGUAAAUCUUAUAAAGUAACUGCUGUUUUUAUUUUUUAGGUGUUGUUUUAAUAUCUGUUUUAACAUGGUGCUGGACAUUAAUUAAUUGUGCACAUAUGUAAAUUAUGCUUCUGUGUAUUGACUGUUGAGCAUGUUUUCCUUUAUAUCUCAUUCUAUGACUGCUAAAACAAGAAAAAAAAAGGCAAAGUUUAAAGCUUACAAAUGCAUGGAAAGUUUUAAAUUACCAUGUGAUGUUUUGAGGCCUGAUUCAUCUUUCCAUUAUAAUCCUAAUAAUAGAUUUUUAUCAGUCUAGAGCCAUUUUUUAUAUCACUUUCUCAGUUUAGAUGCAACCGUACAAUUGCAAAUUACCGUUGUGUUGUAAAAUAUGCCUAACUUCAUUAGAUUAUAAAAUCUCUCACUUUUUUUGUGACUUUCUUAUUCUUUAACAAUUAGGCCUCAUGGAGCUUCUGCUGGUACCCCAGGAUCACACUGUUUUGUUUUGCUUAUUCCACAAAAUUAGUAAUAAUAAUUUCUUUUUUCCCAUUUGCAUUUUAUUGUCAGUCAUAGUCUCAUCAGUAAUGUCUUUGGAUGUGCAAGUCUGAUACAGUAUUGGUAUUCAAAUAUCUAUUUCUUGUGAAAUAGCUUGGAUUCUGCAAUAAUUUUUUGUGGUGUGGGGUGAGACUUAGGUGUGGAUUGAGACAUUUUAGGUGUCUAUAUGGAACGGCUCAGGUGUAAACUAUAUGUGUAAACUCCUGUUCUAGACAACAAAGUCAAAGCAAUCUGUGGACCCUUCUCAGUGCCUUGUCCAAUGAACUGCUUUGCAUAUAUUUCAGAGGGAACCGAGUUCUUCUCUAAGCUCCAUCUGAACACAGACAAAAGUUAUGGCAUCAUGUGAAAUGUACUGUCAGUUUAUGUCUUGCAGUUCUCUACAGGAUAAAAUUCCCAGGAAAUGGAAAAAUACAUUUAAAAAUAUAGUUUAAUCACUAAGUUCCUGAGAAAAAUAGUGAAAAGAACUUUCUUGACUUUCUCCUAAAGACAAACCAGGAUUCAGUAAAAUUGUUGGACCUUCGCUUGUCAUUUGCUGUGAUUCGUGCACGUUGUACAACAGUACUCAAAGCUAUUGGCCAGGUAAAGCAAUCUUGGAUAUCUUCUCGUGCCUUUGUUCUGGAAAUGUGUAUCAAUGUACAUCUUGGAUCUCUCAGGCUUAUUCAAUGCAUUUAGGAUAUUAACAGGAUUGUUUGAGUUGGUAACCUGAAAUAAUCUGACACUGCAUUUAUUGAUGCAGAAGGUUAUUCUGAAUUUUGUGUCCAAAUGUCUUGCUUGCUUAGUUUACCAUUCCAUGUGAAUAAAAUACUUUGCUUUAAACAUAAACUUUCGUUUCCUUUGUAGUGAUUCUGUCUACUGUGGAAAGUCAUUCAUCCCUUGUCCUAAAGAUUUUUGCUUCUCAUAGCACUAAUACCACAGAGUUUUUUAGAGCAUUGGGUUAAUCUAAAGAUCUGCAGCUGAAAUACUAAGGAGCAGAUUGGAAUCCAAGCAUAAGAUAAGAUCAGAAAGCAAUAGCAAAGGACACGGUCCAAGUUAUGGUCAAACUAAGGUUACACAUUGUGGCUACUGCCCCAGCUCCAGAGACAGAGCCCAGACAGCUGCAGAGCAGUGGCAGCCAGCCAGCAUGCCUGAAUAGAUGAAGAUGAGGCCAAAAGGAGGAGGACUUAAAUCCCAGAUUUUAGCUGCUCUAAUAUAGAAUGAUCAAGCUAUAUAAGAACCUUACAUACCCAGAAAAGAGCUAAAACAGCUAGUUUGAAACAAAGUCCUUGAAGUUUCUUGUGCAACUUUUCAAAUAGGAAUUAUCAUAGCCAAAGCAUUUUAAAAUAUUAGUUUUUAAGAUGUAUUUAUUUAUGAUGUACCUAGUAUAAAAAAAAUUUUUUUAUACUAGGUACAUCAUAAAAAAAAUCUUUGCCCUCAAAUAAAUUAGAUACCCAGUAACUUUUUUUUUUUUU
Prinia subflava (tawny-flanked prinia) is the source of this 4705-nucleotide RNA transcript. RefSeq lists it as uncharacterized. The record is from RefSeq and is a predicted model, not a curated record. The transcript is spliced from 3 exons. Lineage: Eukaryota; Metazoa; Chordata; Aves; Passeriformes; Cisticolidae.